AUACGUAGGGGGCGAGCGUUGUCCGGAAUGAUUGGGCGUAAAGGGCGCGUAGGCAGCCCGGUAAGUCUGGAGUGAAAGUCCUGUUUUUAAGAUGGGAAUUGCUUUGGAUACUGUCGGGCUUGAGUGCAGGAGAGGUAAGUGGAAUUCCCAGUGGAGCGGUGAAAUGCGUAGAGAUUGGGAGGAGCACCAGUGGCGAAGGCGACUUACUGGACUGUAACUGACGCUGAGGCGCGAAAGUGUGGGGAGCAAACAGGAUUAGAUACCCUGGUAGUCCACACUGUAAACGACGAAUGCUAGGUGUAGGGGGUAUCGACCCCUUCUGUGCCGCAGUCAACACAAUAAGCAUUCCGCCUGGGGAGUACGGCCGCAAGGUUGAAACUCAAAUGAAUUGACGGGG
RNAcentral lists this ribosomal RNA (397 nucleotides) under uncultured bacterium. RNAcentral describes it as "partial 16S ribosomal RNA". It matches the Rfam family "Bacterial small subunit ribosomal RNA", at positions 523 to 918 of the family's 1533-position model. The record is from RNAcentral.